AUGAGGGCCAAGGAGAGGCAGCCAUGUGAGGUGCCCUUUGGAAAGAAUGGUGUUGAAGCGACCAGUAAUCCUGGGCUCAUUUCUCACAUGGGCAUUUAUUUCUUUACACUUCUCAAGCACAGUUAUGAUGGGACGUCCCCCAUAACCUGGCAAGGAAGAUGGUCGGCUCUUCUGAGGCACAAAGGCCUCGAGUCCUGGUGUUGGUAUGGCCUGGCCUCCACGGUGCACCCCUGCUGGUGGAUGGCUCAGGACGGGGCAGUUGCCUUGAGAGGCCCGCUGCAUGCUGCCACAACAGAUGUUCGAUUCUUACAAGCAACGGAGUCCCCAUGGAGUCGUGGAGUCAGUGUGGCCUGGCAUCCAUCGUGCACCUUGUGGUGGCAGGUGGCUCAGGGCGGGGCAGUUAUCAUGGGACAUCCGCCAUACGCUGGCAAGGAAGAUGGUCAGUUCUUCCGGUCCACAAAGGCCCCCAGAGUCCUGGAGGGCUGUGCCCUGGAGAGACCUGCCAUGUGCUGCCGCAACAGAUGGUUGAUUCUUCCAAGCAACAGAGUCCCCAUGGAGUCAUGGAGUCAGUGUGCCCUGGCAUCCAUGGUGCACCCCGUGCUAGCAGGUGGCUCAGGACCGGGCAGUUAUCAUGGGACAUCCCACAUAUCCUGGCAAGGAAUGUGGUCCAUUCUUCUGAGCCGCAAAGGCCCCCAGAGUCCUGGAGUCAUUAUGGCCUGGCAUCCAUGGUACACCCCUGCUGAUGGAUGGCUCAAGAUGUUGCCUUGA
Molecule: long non-coding RNA, 768 nt
Filed under: Callithrix jacchus (white-tufted-ear marmoset)
Lineage: Eukaryota; Metazoa; Chordata; Mammalia; Primates; Cebidae
Description: lncRNA (ENSCJAG00000056477.2)
Source: RNAcentral